GUUUUGGCGGGAAUAACUUCGGCGCAGGUUUUGGCGGGAACAAUUUCGGAACAGGUUUUGGCAACCGACCCGGAGGUUUUGGCGGGAAUAACUUCGGAACAGGUUUUGGCGGAAACAACUUCGGCAACCGACCCGGAGGUUUUGGCGGGAACAACUUCGGAACAGGUUUUGGCGGAAACAACUUCGGUAACCGACCUGGAGGUUUUGGCGGAAACCAGUUCUUUACAGGUAAAUAGAAAAGUGUAACUCUGCGCAUUGCAUCCGCAAACAAGAGAGAUUAUAAAGUGUUUCUUAUGUUCAUUACUUGAUCUUUAUUAUCAUUUCUUGAUGCUUACGAUUAUCAUCUCUAGAUGUUUAUCAUUAUUAUCAAUUCUUGAUGUUUAUUAUUAUUUCUUUAAAUUUAUGAUUAUAAUUUCUUUUUGCUACGAACGACGUAGGAAAUAAUAAAAUUGGGUAAUAGCUGUCCAUAUGCAUAUAUUACUGGGAAUCAAUCUAUCACUGGUAAUAAUAAUAAUCACAUAUAAAGAUGAAUUAGAUAAGCAUACUCUUA
Long non-coding RNA from Penaeus indicus, 550 nucleotides. RefSeq lists it as uncharacterized. The record is from RefSeq and is a predicted model, not a curated record. Lineage: Eukaryota; Metazoa; Arthropoda; Malacostraca; Decapoda; Penaeidae. The transcript has 2 exons.